ACCGGCGGCUCGAGUGGUAACCGAUAUUAUUGGGUAUAAAGGGUCUGUAGCCGGCCGGAUAAGUCUCUUGGGAAAUCUGGCAGCUUAACUGUCAGGCUUUCAGGAGAUACUGUCUGGCUCGAGGCCGGGAGAGGUAAGAGGUACGUCAGGGGUAGCGGUGAAAUCUUGUGAUCCUUGAAAGACCACCAGUGGCGAAGGCGUCUUACCAGAACAGACCUUCCGUCAGGUGACUAAAUCGAAGGGCACGAACCG
RNAcentral lists this ribosomal RNA (252 nucleotides) under uncultured prokaryote. Its description in RNAcentral is "partial 16S rRNA". It matches the Rfam family "Archaeal small subunit ribosomal RNA", at positions 475 to 726 of the family's 1478-position model. The record is from RNAcentral.